RNAcentral lists this non-coding RNA (68 nucleotides) under bovine gut metagenome. Its description in RNAcentral is "Cyclic di-GMP-I riboswitch". It matches the Rfam family "c-di-GMP-I riboswitch aptamer". Rfam says of the family: GEMM was predicted in a large-scale screen for bacterial structured RNA regulatory elements. The record is from RNAcentral.
GAAAAGGCAAAACCACAGCAAUGUGGUGACGCAAAACUACAGGGUCUUAAUGAGAUAGCCAGUUGCCG